Molecule: long non-coding RNA, 284 nt
Filed under: Monodelphis domestica (gray short-tailed opossum)
Lineage: Eukaryota; Metazoa; Chordata; Mammalia; Didelphimorphia; Didelphidae
Description: lncRNA (ENSMODG00000034220.2)
Source: RNAcentral
UUUAAUCAGGAAAAUCCUUAAUAUUCAGCUGCCAUACAGAGCCAAGUGCUAAAUACCAAAGUCAAAACUCUGAGGCUCUGGGGACAGUGUCUCUGAGAGAAUCACCACCAAGCCAGGAUUAUCAGGGAGAGGCUGAUGCUUUACAAUGGAUGCUAAAGAAAGAGUCCAGCCAAGAAUUGGGCUACCUAGGAGAGGCCAUUGACACAAUGGGAGACACUUCUAAGAUGAAAAGGCCCCUGUGUCUGCCGGGUCUCAGGCAUUGUGCCAAGGGCCUGCCGGGAUAG